AAAUGAAUUGACGGGGGCCCGCACAAGCGGUGGAGCAUGUGGUUUAAUUCGAUGCAACGCGAAGAACCUUACCUACUCUUGACAUCCAGAGAACUUUCCAGAGAUGGAUUGGUGCCUUCGGGAACUCUGAGACAGGUGCUGCAUGGCUGUCGUCAGCUCGUGUUGUGAAAUGUUGGGUUAAGUCCCGCAACGAGCGCAACCCUU
Molecule: ribosomal RNA, 204 nt
Filed under: Enterobacter hormaechei subsp. hoffmannii
Lineage: Bacteria; Pseudomonadati; Pseudomonadota; Gammaproteobacteria; Enterobacterales; Enterobacteriaceae
Description: partial 16S ribosomal RNA
Rfam family: Bacterial small subunit ribosomal RNA
Source: RNAcentral